RNAcentral lists this ribosomal RNA (253 nucleotides) under uncultured bacterium. RNAcentral describes it as "partial 16S ribosomal RNA". It matches the Rfam family "Bacterial small subunit ribosomal RNA", at positions 524 to 776 of the family's 1533-position model. The record is from RNAcentral.
UACAGAGGUCUCAAGCGUUGUUCGGAUUCAUUGGGCGUAAAGGGUGCGUAGGUGGCGCCGUAAGUCGGGUGUGAAAUUUCGGAGCUUAACUCCGAAACUGCAUUCGAUACUGCGGUGCUUGAGGACUGGAGAGGAGACUGGAAUUCAUGGUGUAGCAGUGAAAUGCGUAGAGAUCAUGAGGAAGACCAGUGGCGAAGGCGGGUCUCUGGACAGUUCCUGACGCUGAUGCACGAAGGUCAGGGGAGCAAACGGG